UGAAUCUCAGACUUGAAAAAU
This 21-nucleotide non-coding RNA is filed under the name Caenorhabditis elegans. The record is from RNAcentral. Lineage: Eukaryota; Metazoa; Nematoda; Chromadorea; Rhabditida; Rhabditidae.